UCGCGGUUCUACCGCUCCGCUCAUGCCCGCGGCCGAACCCUCCCCCGCAUCCCACAGCCGCCGACGCUCACCUUCCAUCCUCCCCGCAGCCCGCAGCCGCCAACGCUCACCUUCCAUCCCCGCGGAUCCCACGCUCCCUCGGGCGCUCCUUCCGCGCCCGCCCACAGAUCUCCCAUCGACGUCGAUGCUCUGCGAUUAAGCCCAGCUAAACUCGCGCGGUUUGGCUUUGGCGCAGCGCUGGAGCUCUCGAGACGCUCGCUUGGCGCCGAAGCGGACGAGGAGCAGUUGUCGGCGUCCGCUGCCGUGUCCUCAGCUCCGCCAUCUCCUUCUCCAGCUCGACGAUCCUCUGCUUCCUGCUCGUGAACUCCAGCGCGGCAGCGUCGAGCUCGGCGCACAGCCACCCGUUCUCGGCUUCCACCCGCUCUGCGGUGUCCCUGCACCUCUGGAGCUCGGUCUUCUUGGCCGCGAGCUCGGCCUCCAGGACUGCGCCAAAGCCAAACUGCUACUGCUACAACUCCGCCGUGCUCUCCAUGGAAGCUUCUGCGCCUAGAUCAACAGCGUUCGGCCGCUGGUGCCCGGCGCUAAGCUCCACGCCGUCAUCGAGCGUGGCACAGUGAUUCCGUCCUCGACCUCCCCUUCCUCUGCAACAUGUCCAGGACCGGGAACUAGUAGUGGGAGGAUCACCGUCCACCGUCGAGCGUCUGCAAGGCAAAUCAGAUCAACCACCACAUCGGAGUGAAAAGUCUGCGCCACUCUGCCUCACACAGCCAAAAAAUGUAUCAGGUGAUUAAGAACCAUCCCAGCUCAUUGAAGCUUUAUGAGCAGAAACUGCUAGGAACGAGUGAAGUCAUGAAAGAAGAUGUCCAGAGGAUCCAUGACAAGGUGAACCGAAUCUUGAACGAAGAGUUUGCUAAGAGCAAAGACUACGUUCCCAACAAGAGGGAUUGGCUCUCAGCUUACUGGACUGGCUUUAAGUCACCAGAGCAAAUAUCACGUGUUCGCAACACUGGAGUGAAGCCUAAAAUACUGAAACGUGUAGGUCAGGCAAUUACUACACUGCCUGAAAACUUCAAACCACAUAGAGCAGUGAAGAAGAUUUUUGAGCUGCGUGCAGCUAUGAUAGAGAGUGCUCAAGGAAUUGAUUGGGCUGUUGCCGAAGCCCUGGCCUUUGCAACACUUAUAGUGGAAGGCAAUCAUGUUAGGCUAAGUGGACAGGAUGUGGAAAGAGGAACUUUCAGCCAUCAGCAUGCAGUUCUGCAUGAUCAGGAAACUGGAGCAAAGUACUGCCCACUUGACCAUGUUGCAAUGAAUUAAAAUGAGGAGCUAUUUAUUGUUAGCAACAGAGACUAGUUGGAGCUUCAUUGUUGAUUUUUGCAAAUAAGCAAGACAUGCAAGGAGCUCUAAAACCAACUGGAAUCACGAAGGUAAGCGAACUUCAGUCAUUUAUUAUAUGCAUUAGAGACAUGUUUUCCUAUCUAUGACAUCAUUUUUAACUUGUACUAUGUUUUUCCGGUCCUCAUGGUUGCCAAGAUUUUACUUAGUUCGAUGUGGGAGCAAAAGGAUAUGCCAAAUUGAAUGUAGUUUCAUCAAUUAUGCUCAAUUAUGGAUGUUCAGAGGCAUCCAAUUUCAGUGUGUACUGCAAUACUUGGGUCCACCUGUACUUGGUAGAUGUUCUGCAUUUUGUUUUCUUAUAAAUUAGAUUUGGCUUCCAUUAUGUUGUUCUCUUUCGGAACAGUCACUCUCUGAUAGCUCAUCGCCGCCUGGUUCUCCCGCCGGUACACAAGGUUUAAGAAGCGCUCCGCGGACUUCCACGGCCGCGCCGCCGAUCUCGUCCACGGCCUCCGGGGCACGGCGAUGCCCAGGAGACAGGCCCUCAAGGAAGAGCAGUGCAGAGAAGAGAAAGGUAUCUCGACUAUUCCAAAGCACAAGUAUGCAUCCAAAGCCUGUUCCCCAAAAGGAUCGAAAGGAACUUCAACCUGAACCAGCGAGAGUAUCGAUACAAAGACUGUUUGAAAUCUUCUAGAAAUGACAUCGAAUGGAACUUCAAGCUGAACAAGCGAAAGCAUCUAUACAAAGACUGUCUGAAAUCUUCUAGGUAACAACAGCCAUGACUUCGAACAUAUUGUAUUCUACCUUUUCAGAUUUUCUUGUUUUUAAUGGUAUCACAAUUAUUGUGCUAUUGUGAAUAAACCACUUGUAAUGCUGUUUUGCUCA
Molecule: RNA transcript, 2214 nt
Organism: Zea mays
Lineage: Eukaryota; Viridiplantae; Streptophyta; Magnoliopsida; Poales; Poaceae
Gene name: 2-oxoglutarate dehydrogenase pseudogene
Exons: 8
Source: RefSeq, marked validated